RNAcentral lists this ribosomal RNA (460 nucleotides) under uncultured bacterium. RNAcentral describes it as "partial 16S ribosomal RNA". It matches the Rfam family "Bacterial small subunit ribosomal RNA", at positions 338 to 795 of the family's 1533-position model. The record is from RNAcentral.
CCUACGGGAGACAGCAGUGGGGAAUAUUGGGCAAUGGGCGCAAGCCUGAACCAGCCAAGUAGCGUGAAGGAUGACUGCCCUACGGGUUGUAAACUUCUUUUAUAAAGGAAUAAAGUGAGGCACGUGUGCCUUUUUGUAUGUACUUUAUGAAUAAGGAUCGGCUAACUCCGUGCCAGCAGCCGCGGUAAUACGGAGGAUCCGAGCGUUAUCCGGAUUUAUUGGGUUUAAAGGGAGCGUAGAUGGGUUGUUAAGUCAGUUGUGAAAGUUUGCGGCUCAACCGUAAAAUUGCAAUUGAUACUGGCAGCCUUGAGUACAGUUGAGGUAGGCGGAAUUCGUGGUGUAGCGGUGAAAUGCUUAGAGAUCACGAAGAACUCCGAUUGCGAAGGCAGCUUACUAAACUGCCACUGACAUUGAUGCUCGAAAGUGUGGGUAUCAAACAGGAUUAGAUACCCUAGUAGUC